This 443-nucleotide ribosomal RNA is filed under the name uncultured bacterium. RNAcentral describes it as "partial 16S ribosomal RNA". It matches the Rfam family "Bacterial small subunit ribosomal RNA", at positions 338 to 795 of the family's 1533-position model. The record is from RNAcentral.
CCUACGAGAUGCAGCAGUGGGGAAUAUUGGGCAAUGGAGGCAACUCUGACACAGCAAUGCCGCGUGAAUGAAGAAGGACUUCGGAUGGUAAAGAUCUUUAAUCAGGGACGAAGAAAAUGACGAUACCUGAGGAAUAAGCCACGGCAAACUAUGUGCCAGCAACAGCGGUAAUACAUCGGUUGCAGUCGAUGGCCGGAAGGACUGGGCGUAGAGGGAGCGGAGGAGGUCUGUUAAGUUGGAAGUGAAAUCCCGGGGCUCAACCCCGGAACUGCUUUCAAGACUGACGGACUUGAGUGUAAGAGGGGUAAGCGGAAUUCCUAGUGUAGCGGUGGAAUGCGUAGAUAUUAGGAGGAACACCAGUGGCGAAGGCGGCUUACUGGAUUAUAACUGCCGCUGAGGCUCGACAGCGUGGGUAGCAAACAGGAUUAGAUACCCCAGUAGUC